Molecule: ribosomal RNA, 244 nt
Filed under: bacterium enrichment culture clone ALO1_GLFRUDD03F2MC7
Lineage: Bacteria
Description: partial 16S ribosomal RNA
Rfam family: Bacterial small subunit ribosomal RNA
Source: RNAcentral
GAGUUUGAUCGUGGCUCAGAUUGAACGCUGGCGGCAUGCCUUACACAUGCAAGUCGAACGGCAGCACGGGAGCUUGCUCCUGGUGGCGAGUGGCGAACGGGUGAGUAAUGCAUCGGAACGUAUCCUGGAUGGGGGAUAACGUAGCGAAAGUUACGCUAAUACCGCAUAUUCUGUGAGCCAGGAAAGCGGGGGACCUUCGGGCCUCGCGCUCUUGGAGCGGCCGAUGUCGGAUUAGCUAGUUGGU